Molecule: ribosomal RNA, 494 nt
Filed under: uncultured bacterium
Lineage: Bacteria
Description: partial 16S ribosomal RNA
Rfam family: Bacterial small subunit ribosomal RNA
Source: RNAcentral
GACGAACGCUGGCGGCGUGCUUAACACAUGCAAGUCGAACGGAAAGGCCUGCUUUCCCUUGUGGAUUGCGGGUACUCGAGUGGCGAACGGGUGAGUAACACGUGAGUGAUCUGCCCCCAACUUGGGUAUAAGCCUGGGAAACUGGGUCUAAUUCCCGAUAGUACUGCAGGGUGGUGCCUGUGGUGGAAAACGAUUUUCUAGUGGUUGGGGAUGAGCUCGCGGCCUAUCAGCUUGUUGGUGGGGUAAUGGCCUACCAAGGCGGCGACGGGUAGCCGGCCUGGGAGGGUGGACGGCCACAUUGGGACUGAGAUACGGCCCAGACUCCUACGGGAGGCAGCAGUGGGGAAUAUUGCACAAUGGGCGGAAGCCUGAUGCAGCGACGCCGCGUGGGGGAUGACGGCCUUCGGGUUGUAAACUCCUUUCGACCGCGAGGAAGCCACCUGGUUGGAAGGGUGGUGACGGUAGUGGUAGAAGAAGCACCGGCUAACUACGUG